RNAcentral lists this transfer RNA (66 nucleotides) under human gut metagenome. It matches the Rfam family "tRNA". Rfam says of the family: Transfer RNA (tRNA) molecules are approximately 80 nucleotides in length. Their secondary structure includes four short double-helical elements and three loops (D, anti-codon, and T loops). RNAcentral also lists the same sequence under 1 other name. The record is from RNAcentral.
GGUGUCGCCAAGCGGUAAGGCAUCGGAUUUUGAUUCCGAGAUUCGUAGGUUCGAAUCCUGCCACCC